This 983-nucleotide long non-coding RNA is filed under the name Nicotiana benthamiana. RNAcentral describes it as "long non-coding RNA (NBEN_LNC034711)". The record is from RNAcentral. Lineage: Eukaryota; Viridiplantae; Streptophyta; Magnoliopsida; Solanales; Solanaceae.
AAAUAAUUUUAUUACUAAGAGAAAUCAGGAAUAACACACCAUUUGAACAAAUAAAACCAGUAUUAACAUCUUCUAAUGAUUGAACUAUCCCUGAGGCUCAAACCUUCUGAAUUAAAUAACACACGGCCAUUAGCAAAUAAUCACACUACAAUGAGAGAGAGAGAGAGAGAUUAGCAUGCUAAUUCCAAACGAGUCUGCUUAAACAUGAACUUAACACAUCUAGAUAAACCUAACCAAAUAGAAACUGAAGAUUUAACAAUAUUGAUAGAAGAUUCAUGAACUAACCUUAAGAUACUGGCUAACAACAAUGAAAAACAUAGAAAAAAAAUAAUCCUAAAAUGCUAAAAGCCUUAAAUUAUGCAACUAAACAGUCAUGAAGUCAUAAAAACUCAAGAGAAAGGGGAAGAAAAUAAUAGAGGGACACAAACAAGAUAAAAUAAUAAAGAAAUACCUAUGUUCGCUCCAAAUGGAAUCAACUAAGAACUCAAUACGACGUUAAACAAAUGAAGUGAACCUUUAACAAUCAUUAAUCGACUGUCCUUAAUAAGGAAUCAUCGAUUAAUGACAGUUUAGGGUUCGCUCGACCACAUGCUCACGAAGAAAGGAAAAAGAGGGAAAACCUAAAUCUUUUUCAGAACCCUUGCUUCAGCGUUGAUGGUCUUGGGGCUGAUUUGCGAGGAAACUAAAGCAUAUUCGGGGAGAGGGAGGGUGAGGGAUUGCAUGGUGUAAGUUUGGGGUUGUUUGGGCGACUUACACUUUUGGGAUUCUGAGUAUAGAUCCGAAAUUCGAGAUUUUUUAGGGUGAUUUUGGGAAACAGAUUAGGAGAUUCAAAAAGAGGAAGGAAAUGGGAUUAUAUGGUGUUAAUUUGGAGGGGGUCAGAGUGGUUUACACCGUCGCCGCAGGCAGAGAUGAUGGAGGUUUCAGGGGUGGCAGGCUUUAGGGUUUGGAUUGAGAGAGAUGAAAGAGUGAGAGGGGUUUUACUG